GUUUUGACCCAGGGGGCUGCCUUCGCCAUCGGUGUUCCUCCACAUCUCUACGCAUUUCACUGCUACACGUGGAAUUCUACCCCCCUCUGCCAAACUCUAGCCUCGCAGUCUCCAUCGCCAUUCCCAGGUUAAGCCCGGGGAUUUCACGACAGACUUACGAAACCGCCUGCGCACGCUUUACGCCCAGUAAUUCCGAUUAACGCUUGCACCCUACGUAUUACCGCGGCUGCUGGCACGUAGUUAGCCGGUGCUUAUUCUUCAGGUACCGUCAGCGGAUCUGGAUAUUAGCCAGACCCUUUUCUUCCCUGACAAAAGAGCUUUACAACCCGAAGGCCUUCUUCACUCACGCGGCAUUGCUGGAUCAGGGUUGCCCCCAUUGUCCAAAAUUCCCCACUGCUGCCUCCCGUAGGAGUCUGGACCGUGUCUCAGUUCCAGUGUGGCUGGUCGUCCUCUCAGACCAGCUACUGAUCGUUGCCUUGGUGAGCCUUUACCUCACCAACUAGCUAAUCAGAUAUCGGCCGCUCCAGGAGCACAAGGCCUUGCGGUCCCCUGCUUUCAUCCUUAGAUCGUAUGCGGUAUUAGCGUAACUUUCGCUACGUUAUCCCCCACUCUUGGGUACGUUCCGAUAUAUUACUCACCCGUUCGCCACUCGCCGCCAGGCCGAAGCCCGCGCUGCCGUUCGACUUGCAUGUGUAAAGCAUGCCGCCAGCGUUCAAUCUGAGCCAGGAUCAAACUC
Molecule: ribosomal RNA, 736 nt
Filed under: uncultured bacterium
Lineage: Bacteria
Description: partial 16S ribosomal RNA
Source: RNAcentral